Molecule: non-coding RNA, 70 nt
Organism: Lupinus angustifolius (narrow-leaved blue lupine)
Lineage: Eukaryota; Viridiplantae; Streptophyta; Magnoliopsida; Fabales; Fabaceae
Source: Rfam
GCACCAGUGGUCUAGUGGUAGAAUAGUACCCUGUACAGUACAGACCUGGGUUCGAUUCCCGGCUGGUGCA